RNAcentral lists this unclassified non-coding RNA (146 nucleotides) under soil metagenome. Its description in RNAcentral is "partial internal transcribed spacer 1". The record is from RNAcentral.
UAAUAAGUGUUUUAUGGCACUUUUUAAAUCCAUAUCCACCUUGUGUGCAAUGUCAGUCGAUCUUCUUCAUGGAGAUCGACCAAACAUCAACCUUUAUCUUUUAACUCUUUGUCUGAAAAAUAUUAUGAAUAAACUAAUUCAAAAUA